This 2932-nucleotide ribosomal RNA is filed under the name Escherichia coli O145. RNAcentral's name for it is "23S ribosomal RNA". It matches the Rfam family "Bacterial large subunit ribosomal RNA". The record is from RNAcentral. Lineage: Bacteria; Pseudomonadati; Pseudomonadota; Gammaproteobacteria; Enterobacterales; Enterobacteriaceae.
GGGUUGUGAGGUUAAGCGACUAAGCGUACACGGUGGAUGCCCUGGCAGUCAGAGGCGAUGAAGGACGUGCUAAUCUGCGAUAAGCGUCGGUAAGGUGAUAUGAACCGUUAUAACCGGCGAUUUCCGAAUGGGGAAACCCAGUGUGUUUCGACACACUAUCAUUAACUGAAUCCAUAGGUUAAUGAGGCGAACCGGGGGAACUGAAACAUCUAAGUACCCCGAGGAAAAGAAAUCAACCGAGAUUCCCCCAGUAGCGGCGAGCGAACGGGGAGCAGCCCAGAGCCUGAAUCAGUGUGUGUGUUAGUGGAAGCGUCUGGAAAGGCGCGCGAUACAGGGUGACAGCCCCGUACACAAAAAUGCACAUACUGUGAGCUCGAUGAGUAGGGCGGGACACGUGGUAUCCUGUCUGAAUAUGGGGGGACCAUCCUCCAAGGCUAAAUACUCCUGACUGACCGAUAGUGAACCAGUACCGUGAGGGAAAGGCGAAAAGAACCCCGGCGAGGGGAGUGAAAAAGAACCUGAAACCGUGUACGUACAAGCAGUGGGAGCACGCUUCGGCGUGUGACUGCGUACCUUUUGUAUAAUGGGUCAGCGACUUAUAUUCUGUAGCAAGGUUAACCGAAUAGGGGAGCCGAAGGGAAACCGAGUCUUAACUGGGCGUUAAGUUGCAGGGUAUAGACCCGAAACCCGGUGAUCUAGCCAUGGGCAGGUUGAAGGUUGGGUAACACUAACUGGAGGACCGAACCGACUAAUGUUGAAAAAUUAGCGGAUGACUUGUGGCUGGGGGUGAAAGGCCAAUCAAACCGGGAGAUAGCUGGUUCUCCCCGAAAGCUAUUUAGGUAGCGCCUCGUGAAUUCAUCUCCGGGGGUAGAGCACUGUUUCGGCAAGGGGGUCAUCCCGACUUACCAACCCGAUGCAAACUGCGAAUACCGGAGAAUGUUAUCACGGGAGACACACGGCGGGUGCUAACGUCCGUCGUGAAGAGGGAAACAACCCAGACCGCCAGCUAAGGUCCCAAAGUCAUGGUUAAGUGGGAAACGAUGUGGGAAGGCCCAGACAGCCAGGAUGUUGGCUUAGAAGCAGCCAUCAUUUAAAGAAAGCGUAAUAGCUCACUGGUCGAGUCGGCCUGCGCGGAAGAUGUAACGGGGCUAAACCAUGCACCGAAGCUGCGGCAGCGACACUAUGUGUUGUUGGGUAGGGGAGCGUUCUGUAAGCCUGUGAAGGUGUACUGUGAGGUAUGCUGGAGGUAUCAGAAGUGCGAAUGCUGACAUAAGUAACGAUAAAGCGGGUGAAAAGCCCGCUCGCCGGAAGACCAAGGGUUCCUGUCCAACGUUAAUCGGGGCAGGGUGAGUCGCCCCCUAAGGCGAGGCCGAAAGGCGUAGUCGAUGGGAAACAGGUUAAUAUUCCUGUACUUGGUGUUACUGCGAAGGGGGGACGGAGAAGGCUAUGUUGGCCGGGCGACGGUUGUCCCGGUUUAAGCGUGUAGGCUGGUUUUCCAGGCAAAUCCGGAAAAUCAAGGCUGAGGCGUGAUGACGAGGCACUACGGUGCUGAAGCAACAAAUGCCCUGCUUCCAGGAAAAGCCUCUAAGCAUCAGGUAACAUUAAAUCGUACCCCAAACCGACACAGGUGGUCAGGUAGAGAAUACCAAGGCGCUUGAGAGAACUCGGGUGAAGGAACUAGGCAAAAUGGUGCCGUAACUUCGGGAGAAGGCACGCUGAUAUGUAGGUGAAGUCCCUCGCGGAUGGAGCUGAAAUCAGUCGAAGAUACCAGCUGGCUGCAACUGUUUAUUAAAAACACAGCACUGUGCAAACACGAAAGUGGACGUAUACGGUGUGACGCCUGCCCGGUGCCGGAAGGUUAAUUGAUGGGGUUAGCGGUAACGCGAAGCUCUUGAUCGAAGCCCCGGUAAACGGCGGCCGUAACUAUAACGGUCCUAAGGUAGCGAAAUUCCUUGUCGGGUAAGUUCCGACCUGCACGAAUGGCGUAAUGAUGGCCAGGCUGUCUCCACCCGAGACUCAGUGAAAUUGAACUCGCUGUGAAGAUGCAGUGUACCCGCGGCAAGACGGAAAGACCCCGUGAACCUUUACUAUAGCUUGACACUGAACAUUGAGCCUUGAUGUGUAGGAUAGGUGGGAGGCUUUGAAGUGUGGACGCCAGUCUGCAUGGAGCCGACCUUGAAAUACCACCCUUUAAUGUUUGAUGUUCUAACGUUGACCCGUGAUCCGGGUUGCGGACAGUGUCUGGUGGGUAGUUUGACUGGGGCGGUCUCCUCCUAAAGAGUAACGGAGGAGCACGAAGGUUGGCUAAUCCUGGUCGGACAUCAGGAGGUUAGUGCAAUGGCAUAAGCCAGCUUGACUGCGAGCGUGACGGCGCGAGCAGGUGCGAAAGCAGGUCAUAGUGAUCCGGUGGUUCUGAAUGGAAGGGCCAUCGCUCAACGGAUAAAAGGUACUCCGGGGAUAACAGGCUGAUACCGCCCAAGAGUUCAUAUCGACGGCGGUGUUUGGCACCUCGAUGUCGGCUCAUCACAUCCUGGGGCUGAAGUAGGUCCCAAGGGUAUGGCUGUUCGCCAUUUAAAGUGGUACGCGAGCUGGGUUUAGAACGUCGUGAGACAGUUCGGUCCCUAUCUGCCGUGGGCGCUGGAGAACUGAGGGGGGCUGCUCCUAGUACGAGAGGACCGGAGUGGACGCAUCACUGGUGUUCGGGUUGUCAUGCCAAUGGCACUGCCUGGUAGCUAAAUGCGGAAGAGAUAAGUGCUGAAAGCAUCUAAGCACGAAACUUGCCCCGAGAUGAGUUCUCCCUGACUCCUUGAGAGUCCUGAAGGAACGUUGAAGACGACGACGUUGAUAGGCCGGGUGUGUAAGCGCAGCGAUGCGUUGAGCUAACCGGUACUAAUGAACCGUGAGGCUUAACCUUACAACGCCGAAGGUGUUU